Ictalurus punctatus (channel catfish) is the source of this 2039-nucleotide long non-coding RNA. The record is from Ensembl. Lineage: Eukaryota; Metazoa; Chordata; Actinopteri; Siluriformes; Ictaluridae.
UAUUGAUUGGAUUCUUAUUGGGUUAUUAGCCUGUUUGACUGGUCAGUUGAAUUGAAUGUGUUUAAUCCAAACGUCAGUAACUUAAAUACAGGUCUAUAAAUAAUAGUAAUUUGAGUCUAACAAUUAUUUGAAUUAAUUGAUUGAAUCUUUUGUGAAUAGAAAGUGCGGGAAUAAAAAGCUCUCUGGAUUGUAAUAAUUAAAUGUAUUAUUGCUAAAAAUAUUAUUCAACACGUUUAAAUAAUGAGCCUCAUAUUAUAUAGUUCGUAAAAUAAAUCUGUACUGAAAGGGUCUGCUUGGCAAAUGCUCACACAGGUCGAGUCAAGAUAAGGACCGGAUCUGUUUACUGGAUAUUAAGCAAGUUAAACUCAGUGUCUUUAAUAUUUUCCAAAACUAUGUUGCCAUACUCUGAAUGCAUAAGUGUGCACUUACAUAAUGUGCCAUGUGUACGGUAUUUUGUUGUUUUGUUUUUUUAUACAACUUUCACAGUUUUGACUAGUGGAUGCCAUGGUCAUUAUAGUUAUUAACCUGGAUAUAUCAAAACCGGACUCAUCAUUUCAUUUGGUACAGGAAUACGAAUAUGAAGGCCUGGUUAUGGGGAACUUUUAAUCUGUGCCAUACUUUGGCCAUAUCUACAGGAUGUAAGCAAUUCUAUGCAACCUAAAUGCAUCUGGUAUAUCAACUAUUUAUGUGUCAGAGAAAGCAUUAUGAAUAAGAACUCUUUUUUAUAUUUUUCUAUGCUUUUAUGUAUGCUUUUUUUUGUUGUUUAUUUUUUUAUUUAAUGCCUGAUUACUCCAAAUGUUACGGCAUAUGAGAUUUAUGUUAUGUUAUGCUGCACUAAUAUAAAAAUAACACAUCGAACCUUUCCAUUCCAUCCAAGAGCUAGUUUCCAAGAAAGAUCGGCUGAACAUACAUAAACAUAAAUAUCGACAUGUUGUGUGGUGGGUGAUGUACAAUGUAUGUUUACAAAGGUCUCGUGAGCCCCUUUCACAUUUCAACAUGGUCACAUCAACUAGCUGAGUUUAUCACCCACGUCAUGUAUGAAAUAUUUUUAUAACAUUCAUGUACAAAUGUUAUGCACCAACUGCUCCUGUGAACAAUAGUCCAUGCAUAUGUUUUCUCUAUUCACAUAUUAAGAUUCAUAUCUAAUCACACUCCUGCUUUGAAGAUUCAGUGCAUGUUUUCCCCACUUCACCACUGACACAGUAAAAAAAGAGUAUUUCUUAUCCUGUAAAUAAAACAAGCUUUCUUUUAUACACAUAGGACCUUUUGUUAAUUUUCCAGUUCAGUACAAAGCAUGUGUGAAAGCAAACAGCAGAGUGAGAGAGACCCUCUUGACACCCUUGAACACGUGCGCUAAAUGGAAGGAUAAUCUCCGCGCUUGCCUAUGAUCAACUCGACCCAACCUGCACAACAGACACAGAAUUAAACUGUGUUCCGAAACUUGACCCUGUUCACGCUGGUAGUAUCAGGACACCUGUGAUGUACUCACUUUGGAUGUUGCAUGUUUUGUUGGUGAUUUGUUCAUACUAUUUUUGUGUCCAGAUUCUGCUCUACGAUAAGAAAGACAACGCGACUGUGGGGGGAACAUAACUGAAAUUAUUAUCGAAAGAUGUAUGCUGACUGUACAAAGAUAUGCUUGUAUAAUCUGUCUGGUUUUCCACUCAAUGUAAACUGAAAAACAAACAAACAAAAAAAAAACUAAUGUCAUGGUUUUUGUGGUUGUACACAAACGGUAUUGAUAAAUUAUGCAAAUUGUGCUGUACAAAAGGCUGUUGCCCUAAAUAGACUAAAUAUUAAAUAAUAUAUGUAAAAUUCUCACAGAGAUUGAGUCUUAUUUAUGAAACAUUUAUUUGAAUGACAAUUGAUUUUGUACCACACUACAAAUAAACUAGAACACACAGAUAGAUAGAUAGAUUAGAUAGAUAGAUAGAUAGAUAGAUAGAGAUUAUUAUCAGAUCUAACCAAAUUGACCACAUGGGAUGCUUCUCAUUACUUCUUUGUGCGUCCUCAUUUCCUUUCCUUGCAUCUUAGCUCCACCC